GCUCUGGGGACUGGAGGAACUCAUAGGUCAGCUGUUGGAUGUGGAGCCUGGCUCAGGAGACUGGAGGAACUCAUAGGUCAGCUGUUGGAUGUGGAGCCUGGCUCUGGGGACUGGAGGAACUCAUAGGUCAGCUGUUGGAUGUGGAGCCUGGCUCAGGAGACUGGAGGAACUCAUAGGUCAGCUGUUGGAUGUGGAGCCUGGCUCUGGGGACUGGAGGAACUCAUAGGUCAGCUGUUGGCUGUGGAGCCUGGCUCUGGGGACUGGAGGAACUCAUAGGUCAGCUGUUGGAUGUGGAGCCUGGCUCUGGGGACUGGAGGAACUCAUAGGUCAGCUGUUGGAUGUGGAGCCUGGCUCUGGGGACUGGAGGAACUCAUAGGUUAGCUGUUGGCUGUGGAGCCUGGCUCUGGGGACUGGAGGAACUCAUAGGUCAGCUGUUGGAUGUGGAGCCUGGCUCUGGGGACUGGAGGAACUCAUAGGUCAGCUGUUGGAUGUGGAGCCUGGCUCUGGGGACUGGAGGAACUCAUAGGUUAGCUGUUGGAUGUGGAGCCUGGCUCUGGAGACUGGAGGAACUCAUAG
This 576-nucleotide long non-coding RNA is filed under the name Salmo salar (Atlantic salmon). RNAcentral describes it as "lncRNA (ENSSSAG00000104330.1)". The record is from RNAcentral. Lineage: Eukaryota; Metazoa; Chordata; Actinopteri; Salmoniformes; Salmonidae.